Molecule: ribosomal RNA, 442 nt
Filed under: uncultured bacterium
Lineage: Bacteria
Description: partial 16S ribosomal RNA
Rfam family: Bacterial small subunit ribosomal RNA
Source: RNAcentral
UGGGGAAUAUUGCACAAUGGGCGCAAGCCUGAUGCAGCCAUGCCGCGUGUGUGAAGAAGGCCUUCGGGUUGUAAAGCACUUUCAGCGAGGAGGAAGGUGGUGAGCUUAAUACGCUCAUCAAUUGACGUUACUCGCAGAAGAAGCACCGGCUAACUCCGUGCCAGCAGCCGCGGUAAUACGGAGGGUGCAAGCGUUAAUCGGAAUUACUGGGCGUAAAGCGCACGCAGGCGGUUUGUUAAGUCAGAUGUGAAAUCCCCGGGCUCAACCUGGGAACUGCAUUUGAAACUGGCAAGCUAGAGUCUCGUAGAGGGGGGUAGAAUUCCAGGUGUAGCGGUGAAAUGCGUAGAGAUCUGGAGGAAUACCGGUGGCGAAGGCGGCCCCCUGGACGAAGACUGACGCUCAGGUGCGAAAGCGUGGGGCAGCAAACAGGAUUAGAUACCCU